This 566-nucleotide ribosomal RNA is filed under the name uncultured bacterium. RNAcentral describes it as "bacterial SSU rRNA". It matches the Rfam family "Bacterial small subunit ribosomal RNA", at positions 348 to 907 of the family's 1533-position model. The record is from RNAcentral.
GCAGCAGUGGGGAAUUUUGGACAAUGGGCGCAAGCCUGAUCCAGCAAUGCCGCGUGCAGGAAGAAGGCCUUCGGGUUGUAAACUGCUUUUGUCAGGGAAGAAAUCUUCUGGGCUAAUACCCCGGGAGGAUGACGGUACCUGAAGAAUAAGCACCGGCUAACUACGUGCCAGCAGCCGCGGUAAUACGUAGGGUGCGAGCGUUAAUCGGAAUUACUGGGCGUAAAGCGUGCGCAGGCGGCUUUGCAAGACAGAUGUGAAAUCCCCGGGCUCAACCUGGGAACUGCAUUUGUGACUGCAAGGCUAGAGUACGGCAGAGGGGGAUGGAAUUCCGCGUGUAGCAGUGAAAUGCGUAGAUAUGCGGAGGAACACCAAUGGCGAAGGCAAUCCCCUGGGCCUGUACUGACGCUCAUGCACGAAAGCGUGGGGAGCAAACAGGAUUAGAUACCCUGGUAGUCCACGCCCUAAACGAUGUCAACUGGUUGUUGGACGGCUUGCUGUUCAGUAACGAAGCUAACGCGUGAAGUUGACCGCCUGGGGAGUACGGCCGCAAGGUUGAAACUCAAAGA